RNAcentral lists this ribosomal RNA (505 nucleotides) under uncultured bacterium. Its description in RNAcentral is "partial 16S ribosomal RNA". It matches the Rfam family "Bacterial small subunit ribosomal RNA", at positions 28 to 507 of the family's 1533-position model. The record is from RNAcentral.
GACGAACGCUAGCGGCGUGCCUAAUACAUGCAAGUAGAACGCACAGUUUAUACCGUAGCUUGCUACACCAUACACUGUGAGUUGCGAACGGGUGAGUAACGCGUAGGUAACCUGCCUGGUAGCGGGGGAUAACUAUUGGAAACGAUAGCUAAUACCGCAUAAUAUUAAUUAUUGCAUGAUAAUUGAUUGAAAGAUGCAAUUGCAUCACUACCAGAUGGACCUGCGUUGUAUUAGCUAGUAGGUGAGGUAACGGCUCACCUAGGCGACGAUACAUAGCCGACCUGAGAGGGUGAUCGGCCACACUGGGACUGAGACACGGCCCAGACUCCUACGGGAGGCAGCAGUAGGGAAUCUUCGGCAAUGGACGAAAGUCUGACCGAGCAACGCCGCGUGAGUGAAGAAGGUUUUCGGAUCGUAAAGCUCUGUUGUAAGAGAAGAACGGGUGUGAGAGUGGAAAGUUCACACUGUGACGGUAUCUUACCAGAAAGGGACGGCUAACUACGUG